This 450-nucleotide ribosomal RNA is filed under the name uncultured bacterium. Its description in RNAcentral is "partial 16S ribosomal RNA". It matches the Rfam family "Bacterial small subunit ribosomal RNA", at positions 338 to 795 of the family's 1533-position model. The record is from RNAcentral.
CCUACGGGGGGCUGCAGUGGGGAAUAUUGGACAAUGGGCGCAAGCCUGAUCCAGCAAUGCCGCGUGUGUGAAGAAGGCCUGCGGGUUGUAAAGCACUUUAAGCAGGAAAGAAGGGGUGGGAGUUAAUACCUUUCAUCAUUGACGUUACCUGCAGAAUAAGCACCGGCUAACUCCGUGCCAGCAGCCGCGGUAAUACGGAGGGUGCGUGCGUGAAGCGGAAUUACCGGGCGUAAUGCGCUCAGUCGGGGUUGAAAGCCCCGGGCUUAACCUGGGAACUGCGGUGGAUACUGUCGGGCUAGAGUGUGGUAGAGGGGAGUGGAAUUUCCGGUGUAGCAGUGAAAUGCGUAGAGAUCGGAAGGAACACCAGUGGCGAAGGCGGCUCCCUGGACUAACACUGACGCUGAGGUGCGAAAGCGUGGGGAGCAAACAGGAUUAGAUACCCCAGUAGUC